This 449-nucleotide ribosomal RNA is filed under the name uncultured bacterium. RNAcentral's name for it is "partial 16S ribosomal RNA". It matches the Rfam family "Bacterial small subunit ribosomal RNA", at positions 29 to 523 of the family's 1533-position model. The record is from RNAcentral.
AACGAACGCUGGCGGCAUGCCUAACACACGCAAGUCGAACGAGAUCUUCGGGUCUAGUGGCGCACGGGUGCGUAACGCGUGGGCAUCUGCCCUUUGGUUCGGAAUAACAGUUGGAAACGACUGCUAAUACCGGAUGAUGACGAAAGUCCAAAGAUUUAUCGCCAGGGGAUGCGCCCGCGUAGGAUUUGCUAGUUGGUGUGGUAAAGGCGCACCAAGGCGACGAUCCUUCGCUGGCCUGGGAGGAUGAUCAGCCACACGGGGACUGUUACACGGCGCAGACUCCAUCGGGAGGCAGAAUUGGACAAGAUUGGACAACGGGCGAAAGCCUGUUCCACCAAUGCCGCGUAAGUGAUGAACGGCUUAGGGUUGUAAAGCUCCUUUCCCGGGGAUGAUAAUGACAUUACCGGUAGAAUAAGCUCCCGAUAUCUCCGAUCAACCCGCCGCCGUAA